This is a long non-coding RNA of Oncorhynchus nerka (sockeye salmon), 291 nucleotides long. RefSeq lists it as uncharacterized. The record is from RefSeq and is a predicted model, not a curated record. The transcript is spliced from 4 exons. NCBI's taxonomy places the organism in Eukaryota, Metazoa, Chordata, Actinopteri, Salmoniformes, Salmonidae.
CUGGAAGGAACAGGCCCAGAAGAUCUCCUGGAUCAAACACAAGCUACUUCACAUCUACUACCAGAACAGCAUCGACGACAAGUUGUUAGUAGAGAAGAUAUUUGCUCAGUACAUGGUUCCUCACAGUCUGGACACUGAGGAGAAGAUGAAAUGUCUCUACUACCUGUAUGCCUGUCUGGAUACCAACGCUGUCAAGGCUCUGAAUGAGAUGUGGAAGUGUCAGAACAUGUUGAGAGGUUUGGUCAGAGAACUGCUGGACCUUCACAAACUACCUGCCUCUGAAGCCAACAC